Molecule: unclassified non-coding RNA, 585 nt
Filed under: Hevea brasiliensis (rubber tree)
Lineage: Eukaryota; Viridiplantae; Streptophyta; Magnoliopsida; Malpighiales; Euphorbiaceae
Source: RNAcentral
AAAAAAAAAAAAAAAAACAACUUGCGAACUUCAGAUAGAAGGAAAAUAACAGAGAGACCAAUGAAUUGUCAUUGAACUAAGCACAUUUGUUUUGUUUCAACAAGAAGACGAGAAUACAGAAUACGCGGCGAAGAGAAAAUCAUAAUGAAGAAAUAGACAAAAUUGUGCCAAACAGUAAUCCAAGUUCUACCACAAGAGCAUAUUGAACUCUCCAUCCCACUAAACUACAUAGAACUAAUCAGUCAGCAGCUGUUUCUUAACCAAACAGCUGCAAUUCAAACAAAUACAUGAAUCCCUGAGAAAGACUUUGGCAAAUCCCUUUCAUUCAUCAAGAAAAAACAGUUCAAUGACCUAAAUUGUGAAAUCAAAAGGAAGAACAGCCAACUUGUUCCAAUACAUUUACAGACAUCACGUAAUCUAAGCAGUCCUAAUAUAAAAAAUGGUAAAAUCUCGCAGUUUAACACUAAUGUUCUACCCAAAAAAAAAAAACCCUAAUUGAAUGAGACAAUUCGCAAUAUGACGCCUGUAGAAUAGUCUUUAGCAAAUAAAAUAAUAAUCUAAAGCGAGAAGGAAACAUAGGAGACA